Molecule: transfer RNA, 90 nt
Filed under: Nitrospiraceae bacterium
Lineage: Bacteria; Pseudomonadati; Nitrospirota; Nitrospiria; Nitrospirales; Nitrospiraceae
Description: tRNA-Leu
Rfam family: tRNA
About the family: Transfer RNA (tRNA) molecules are approximately 80 nucleotides in length. Their secondary structure includes four short double-helical elements and three loops (D, anti-codon, and T loops).
Source: RNAcentral
GCCGGAGUGGCGAAAUUGGCAGACGCAAGGGACUUAAAAUCCCUCGGGCCCAAAAGGCCCAUACCGGUUCAAUUCCGGUCUCCGGCACCA